Canis lupus familiaris (dog) is the source of this 105-nucleotide non-coding RNA. The record is from Rfam. NCBI's taxonomy places the organism in Eukaryota, Metazoa, Chordata, Mammalia, Carnivora, Canidae.
GUGCUUGCUUCAGCAGCACAUGUACUAAAAUUGGAACAAUACAGAAAAGAUUAGCAUGGACCCUGCACAAGGAUGACAUAAAUUUGUGAAAUCUUCCAUAUUUUU